CACGACUCAGUCCUCCAUGUGGCAGCAUGGAGUUUUCCUGCCUUUGAUCCUUUCUUGUGGUUUGACACUUACCCUGCUCCCUCUGGGGUCCAGGCUAGUGAAAAACUAAGCUGAUAAGAGGGGAUCUUUGUUAAAAUGGAGAAAACAGACAGGGAAUCUGUGCAGUUAGGAUCCUGGAAGGAAAUGGGUGGGAUCGUUCAGGAGAGUGUCGUGAGAGACCGUUUCCAAGGGUGUGAGAUGGGUAAGGGGAACCACCAACAAUGGUGGAGGUCAUUACCAAACACAGGCCAGAAGGGCAGGGAGAACGCUGGUGACCAGCACCCGGAAGCCGCUGACAGUGUGGGCUUUGGAAGACGAACACAGCAAUUGGGAGGAGAUGAUCCAGGUGCUUGUCCUUGACGGUGUCUGUCUCCACGGAGGAUAGUGGAUUCUGGAGCCAGGAAGAAAGAGAAUUUGCUGUUGUCUGCUACACGCCAAGCAUGGCUCUAUUCACCACGGAUGCAAUAAUGAAUUAGAAACACCUCUGUGCCGAAAAGCUCAUAUUCUACAGGGAGGAGGGGAAUCAUAAACAGAUAACUAGAAACAACCUGCAGGUGCAGUCAUAGAAGUAUGCCUGUGGAAAUAUGCAUCUACCAAGGAAGAGAACUUCACCUGACUUGGGGAUUUGAGGAAGACUUCCUGUUGGAAUAAUGAUGGAGAGGAAUGCAUCUAACACACCUUCUGGAAAGCAAAUUCUAUGCUGUGCUUCCACAUUAUGCACUCUGAUUCCA
RNAcentral lists this long non-coding RNA (770 nucleotides) under Equus caballus (horse). RNAcentral's name for it is "lncRNA (ENSECAG00000042120.2)". Lineage: Eukaryota; Metazoa; Chordata; Mammalia; Perissodactyla; Equidae. The record is from RNAcentral.